GUUGACCUCGGAUCAGGUAGGAAUACCCGCUGAACUUAAGCAUAUCAAAAGCCCCGAAAGGAAA
RNAcentral lists this ribosomal RNA (64 nucleotides) under Xylariaceae sp. 5144. RNAcentral's name for it is "partial 28S ribosomal RNA". The record is from RNAcentral. Lineage: Eukaryota; Fungi; Ascomycota; Sordariomycetes; Xylariales; Xylariaceae.